Molecule: long non-coding RNA, 630 nt
Organism: Labeo rohita (rohu)
Lineage: Eukaryota; Metazoa; Chordata; Actinopteri; Cypriniformes; Cyprinidae
Exons: 3
Source: RefSeq, a predicted model, not a curated record
AAUAGGAUACAUCUCGACAGCGUUCCCAGAUGUCCCGGCUCAAUCGCCCCACUCCAAACACACACGCUCAGCUGUAACAGGAAGCAGUUCAGUCCGGCCGCUCAAUAGUGUGACACAUAGCAUCUGUCAUCUGGACAAUCAAUGGUUCCUCUCAGACGUUCACUCCCGAAGAUGACCGUCAUGCCGAGCACGGACGGAGAACCCGAUCCUCUCUGGGGAGAAUUACAUGAAGAACAGCUCAGUUUCUCCCAGCAGAAGCGUCUAACGCCAGAAAUGGAUCUACAGUUUCCCUGAUGCGCAGAUGGAGACAUUUCCACUGUACUCUUUAGCGGUGUCAUCAAACAGCAUGAAUGUAGAUGAGAUUGGAAGUGACAGACUUCAGGAGAAUAUAACCUCUCACAUAUUCGCCCCUCAGAGGAACAUGAUGAACCUCCUACAGCGAAUAUCAGAUGUCUGAGAGCACUAAGAGAAGCAUUAUGACUAAGAGAAGAGCGUGAGAUUUGAGUACUGAAGCCGCCUGGGAUCGUAUGAGUUACUGCUGCUUAUUUUAACAUGACGUCUCAGAUAAACAACGAUAAGCUUCAAAGAGGAUAUUCACAAUGGUGACAUGAGAUCGGACUCACAAUUUAU